Molecule: long non-coding RNA, 143 nt
Organism: Saccostrea cuccullata (small rock oyster)
Lineage: Eukaryota; Metazoa; Mollusca; Bivalvia; Ostreida; Ostreidae
Exons: 2
Source: RefSeq, a predicted model, not a curated record
UUGGACUUUACCUCUGGCGCUAGGGAUAGGAGUCGUCGUUUUUAUCGCUGUUAUCAUCAUAAUCAUUGUCAUUGUGUUAAAGAGGGGUAAUGCUGCAACACAGUCGACUGAGGAUACGAUGUAUAGUAUUGUAUAUUCUUCAG